GACGAACGCUGGCGGCGUGCUUAACACAUGCAAGUCGAACGGACAGGCCCUGCUUUUGUUGGUUGCUCGAGUGGCGAACGGGUGAGUAACACGCGUGUAACCUGCCCCUGACUUUGUGAUAACUUCUGGAAACUGGGGCUAAUACCGGAUAGGAUCUCCUGCUGCAUGUUGGUGGUUGGAAAGUUUCGGCGGUUGGGGAUGGACUCGCGGCUUAUCAGCCUGUUGGUGAGGUAGUUGCUUUCCAAGGGUUUGACGGGUAGCCGGCAUGAGAGGGUGACCGGCGACAUUAGGACUGAGAUACGGCCCAGAAGGGAACGGGAGGCAGCAGGGGAGAGUAUGACAGAAUGGGCGGAAGCGAGAGACAAAGACGCCGCGAGCGGGAAAACGGGCUUCGGGGUGAAAACCGAUUUCGAAGGUGACGAAGAGUGAGUGACGGUAAUGGGUAAAGAAGCACCGGCUAACUACGUG
This 468-nucleotide ribosomal RNA is filed under the name uncultured bacterium. Its description in RNAcentral is "partial 16S ribosomal RNA". It matches the Rfam family "Bacterial small subunit ribosomal RNA", at positions 28 to 507 of the family's 1533-position model. The record is from RNAcentral.